This 497-nucleotide ribosomal RNA is filed under the name uncultured bacterium. RNAcentral's name for it is "partial 16S ribosomal RNA". It matches the Rfam family "Bacterial small subunit ribosomal RNA", at positions 28 to 507 of the family's 1533-position model. The record is from RNAcentral.
GAUGAACGCUGGCGGCGUGCCUAAUACAUGCAAGUCGAGCGAACAGAUGAGGAGCUUGCUCCCCUGACGUUAGCGGCGGACGGGUGAGUAACACGUGGAUAACCUACCUAUAAGACUGGGAUAACUACGGGAAACCGGAGCUAAUACCGGAUAAUAUAUCGAACCGCAGGGUUCAAUAGUGAAUGACGGUUUUGCUGUCACUUAUAGAUGGAUCCGCGCCGCAUUAGCUAGUUGGUAAGGUAACGGCUUACCAAGGCGACGAUGCGUAGCCGACCUGAGAGGGUGAUCGGCCACACUGGAACUGAGACACGGUCCAGACUCCUACGGGAGGCAGCAGUAGGGAAUCUUCGGCAAUGGGCGAAAGCCUGACCGAGCAACGCCGCGUGAGUGAUGAAGGUCUUCGGAUCGUAAAACUCUGUUAUUAGGGAAGAACAAAUGUGUAAGUAACUAUGCACGUCUUGACGGUACCUAAUCAGAAAGCCACGGCUAACUACGUG